Molecule: ribosomal RNA, 468 nt
Filed under: uncultured bacterium
Lineage: Bacteria
Description: partial 16S ribosomal RNA
Rfam family: Bacterial small subunit ribosomal RNA
Source: RNAcentral
GAUGAACGCUGGCGGCGUGCUUAACACAUGCAAGUCGAACGGAAAGGCCAGUGCUUGCACUGGUACUCGAGUGGCGAACGGGUGAGUAACACGUGGGUGAUCUGCCCUGCACUUCGGGAUAAGCCUGGGAAACUGGGUCUAAUACCGGAUAGGACAAUGGUUUGGAUGCCGUUGUGGAAAGUUUUUUCGGUGUGGGAUGAGCUCGCGGCCUAUCAGCUUGUUGGUGGGGUAAUGGCCUACCAAGGCGUCGACGGGUAGCCGGCCUGAGAGGGUGUACGGCCACAUUGGGACUGAGAUACGGCCCAGACUCCUACGGGAGGCAGCAGUGGGGAAUAUUGCACAAUGGGCGCAAGCCUGAUGCAGCGACGCCGCGUGGGGGAUGACGGCCUUCGGAUUGUAAACUCCUGUCGCUAGGGACGAAGCGUAUUUGUGACGGUACCUGGAGAAGAAGCACCGGCUAACUACGUG